This 387-nucleotide ribosomal RNA is filed under the name Amanita sp. G3139. Its description in RNAcentral is "eukaryotic LSU rRNA". It matches the Rfam family "Eukaryotic large subunit ribosomal RNA", at positions 85 to 464 of the family's 3401-position model. The record is from RNAcentral. Lineage: Eukaryota; Fungi; Basidiomycota; Agaricomycetes; Agaricales; Amanitaceae.
UACUGCGAGUGAAGAGGGAUGAGCUCAAAUUUGUAAUCUGRCAGUCUUUGAUUGUCCGAGUUGUAAUCUAGAGAAGUGYUACMCAGCGCUGGACCGUGUACAAGUCUCCUGGAAUGGAGCGUCAUAGAGGGUGAGAAUCCCGUCUCUGACACGGACURCCAGUGUGUUGUGGUGUGCUCUCAAAGAGUCGAGUUGUUUGGGAUUGCAGCUCUAAAUGGGUGGUAAACUCCAUCUAAAGCUAAAUAUUGGCGAGAGACCGAUAGCGAACAAGUACCGUGAGGGAAAGAUGAAAAGAACUUUGGAAAGAGAGUUAAACAGUAUGUGAAAUUGUUGAAAGGGAAACAGUUGAAGUCAGUCUUGUCUGUCGGGGAUCAGCUCUGCUUUUUU